Molecule: transfer RNA, 74 nt
Filed under: Mesorhizobium sp.
Lineage: Bacteria; Pseudomonadati; Pseudomonadota; Alphaproteobacteria; Hyphomicrobiales; Phyllobacteriaceae
Description: tRNA-Arg
Rfam family: tRNA
About the family: Transfer RNA (tRNA) molecules are approximately 80 nucleotides in length. Their secondary structure includes four short double-helical elements and three loops (D, anti-codon, and T loops).
Source: RNAcentral
CCCGUAGCUCAGCUGGAUAGAGCGCUGCCCUCCGAAGGCAGAGGUCACAAGUUCGAAUCUUGUCGGGUGCGCCA